This 210-nucleotide ribosomal RNA is filed under the name uncultured Desulfocapsa sp. RNAcentral's name for it is "partial 16S ribosomal RNA". It matches the Rfam family "Bacterial small subunit ribosomal RNA", at positions 1174 to 1382 of the family's 1533-position model. Lineage: Bacteria; Pseudomonadati; Thermodesulfobacteriota; Desulfobulbia; Desulfobulbales; Desulfocapsaceae. The record is from RNAcentral.
UGGGGAUGACGUCAAGUCCUCAUGGCCUUUAUGACCAGGGCUACACACGUACUACAAUGGCCGGUACAAAGGGCAGCGACACAGCGAUGUGAAGCCAAAUCCCGAAAAGCCGGUCUCAGUCCGGAUUGGAGUCUGCAACUCGACUCCAUGAAGUUGGAAUCGCUAGUAAUCGCGGAUCAGCACGCCGCGGUGAAUACGUUCCCGGGCCUU